Molecule: ribosomal RNA, 507 nt
Filed under: uncultured bacterium
Lineage: Bacteria
Description: partial 16S ribosomal RNA
Source: RNAcentral
GGAGUUAGCCGGUGCUUCUUCUGUGAGUGAUGUCCUUCCUGCCGGCUAUUAACCCGCAGGCCUUCUUCCUCACUGAAAGUGCUUUACAACCCGAAGGCCUUCUUCACACACGCGGCAUGGCUGGAUCAGGGUUGCCCCCAUUGUCCAAUAUUCCCCACUGCUGCCUCCCGUAGGAGUCUGGGCCGUGUCUCAGUCCCAGUGUGGCUGAUCAUCCUCUCAGACCAGCUACGGAUCGUCGCCUUGGUGAGCCGUUACCUCACCAACCAGCUAAUCCGACAUAGGCUCAUCCGAUAGCGCGAGGCCCGAAGGUCCCCCGCUUUCCCCCGUAGGGCGUAUGCGGUAUUAGCCUGGGUUUCCCCAGGUUAUCCCCCACUACCGGGCAGAUUCCUAUGCAUUACUCACCCGUCCGACGCUCGCCACCAGGGAGCAAGCUCCCCGUGCUGCCGCUCGACUUGCAUGUGUUAGGCCUGCCGCCAGCGUUCAAUCUGAGCCAUAAUCAAACUCUGA